This 413-nucleotide ribosomal RNA is filed under the name uncultured eukaryote. RNAcentral's name for it is "SSU rRNA". It matches the Rfam family "Eukaryotic small subunit ribosomal RNA", at positions 592 to 1011 of the family's 1831-position model. The record is from RNAcentral.
CAAUAGCGUAUAUUAAAGUUGUUGCAGUUAAAAGCUCGUAGUUGGAUUUCGGAACCGGCCGAUUGGUCCGUCCUCUGGAUCGUGUACUGAUCGGUCUGUUCUUCUUCGCGAAGACCGCGUGUGCCCUUAACUGGGUGGGCGCGGGAUUCGCGACGUUUACUUUGAAAAAUUAGAGUGUUCAAAAGCGGCAGUCGCUUGAAUAUCUCAGCAUGGAAUAAUAGAAUAGGACUUUGGUCUUAUUUUGUUGGUUUCCGAGACCGAAGUAAUGAUUAAUAGGGACAGUUGGGGGCAUUCGUAUUUCGUUGUCAGAGGUGAAAUUCUUGGAUUUACGAAAGACGAACAACUGCGAAAGCACUUGCCAAGAAGUGUUUUCAUUAAUCAAGAACGAAAGUUAGAGGAUCGAAGACGAUCAG